Lutra lutra (Eurasian river otter) is the source of this 1565-nucleotide long non-coding RNA. RefSeq lists it as uncharacterized. Lineage: Eukaryota; Metazoa; Chordata; Mammalia; Carnivora; Mustelidae. The transcript is spliced from 3 exons. The record is from RefSeq and is a predicted model, not a curated record.
AUCAAGGCCAAGGAAUGGAACUCAUAAACUUUUAUAGAGAAAAUACUGGAGCUGGAUCUUGAAGGAGAUUUGGAGUCCGCUAGGGAUGGUAUUGGGGAUGAACGCGGAAGCAUGAUGACAGGCAGAAGGAACACGUACAAUGAGGCAUAAAACUCGUAACAUAGGCAGGGCUCCUCAGGAUACUUGGAAUGUAGGGAAGGGGCUGGAAGUAAUGUUGGAAAAGUAAACGGAGGACAAAUAAUGAAGCGUCUUCAUGCCAUGCUAAGGGUUUGGAUUUUAUCAAACAGGGUACAAGAGCCAUGGAAAGCUUUUAGGUAGGAGAUUAAGAAUCAGAUUUGCAUUUAGAAAAACCACAGUGGCAGUAGAAUUAAUUCAGUUAAUUCCUUCAAGAGGAAGACAACUAGGAGGUGGACUCGGAAAACCAUCGCAAUAUUCUAUAUGAAAGAGAGGCCUGAACCAAUGCAGGAGCGAGAUGGAUGAAUGGGGAUGGACAGCUGGGCCCAGGAGUGCAGUAUUUAGGAACCUAGGCACUUCCCUUGACCACCCCACUCCUAGCCCGGAAGCCGGGAAUGGACCAGAUGACCUUGUGAGAUUCCCUUUGGCCCGGGGCAGCAGAGUGCUGGCGUCCCAAGCUUGGAAGAGGGUAGCUGUCUAAGAAAAAAUGGACACAUUAUACAAAUUCUACCUCAUCAUCAUCAUCACCACCACCACCGUCAUCAGCACCAUCAUCAACUUCAUCAUCAUCACAAAGACAGCUAAUGCUUUCAUAGAACCUAUUAGGUGCCAGGGAUGAACUCACUCAAAUGUCAGAGCUCUUGAUUUGAGAUAUUUUUAACCCUGACUUUGAAGCAAAGAAACCGAAGUACAGAGAAAAUUGAGUGACUUGUCCAGGGUCAUGCAGCCGGCACCCAAACAGCCUUUAUCCAGGGAUCGCUGGCUUGUCGCUACACCACGCUUCUGUAUACUACACUAACCUGCCUCUCGCUACACAUGUUCUGUUGUUUUGGGUUUUCAUUAUUACAGAACUACCCCCGAACUUCAUAGCUUAAAGCAACAACCAUUUUCUCCUUGUCAGUGAUUCUGUGGGUCAGGAGUCCCAAUACAGUAUAGAUGGCUUGUCUCCGCAUAGGAUGUCUGGAACGUCUACGUACAUAACUCAAAACAGCAGGGCCUGGUCAGGAUGGCUUGACUGGGCCCUUGUGUCUGGGGGCCCAGUUCCUUAUUGUCUGCUAGGCUCCCAGCUUCUCCUCCACAUAACCUUUCCAUCCAGGUAACUAGAGCUUCUUCGGAGCGUGGUGGUCUCAGAGUGAUCGGACUUCUUCCAUGGUGGCUGGCCGCCCCUGAGAGAAUGCGGACACUUCCACACUUCGGGAACUAAGCACAGUGUUAUUUCUACCACAUUCUAGUAGCCAAAGGAAGGCAAGAGACCAGACCAGUUUCAAGAGGAGAAAUAACAGACUCCACUCCUAGAUGAAUGAAGUGGUAUGCACAUACACUGAAAGAAUUAAUUCAUGGUGGCCAACUUUGGAGACUACCACACCACUUACAUAUAGAAUAUAAAAAUA